Molecule: microRNA precursor, 75 nt
Filed under: Haemonchus placei
Lineage: Eukaryota; Metazoa; Nematoda; Chromadorea; Rhabditida; Trichostrongylidae
Description: mir-5928 microRNA precursor family
Rfam family: mir-5928 microRNA precursor family
Source: Rfam by way of RNAcentral
GGCCCGAACUGGGAGUAGUGUAGAUAGGUGUGAUUGGCUGACCCUACUAAACUACUCUACUUCAGGUUUGUGCCU